Molecule: ribosomal RNA, 869 nt
Filed under: uncultured bacterium
Lineage: Bacteria
Description: bacterial SSU rRNA
Rfam family: Bacterial small subunit ribosomal RNA
Source: RNAcentral
UGCAGUCGGACGGGAUUGAGGAGCUUGCUUCUCAUGAGAGUGGCGCACGGGUGCGUAACACGUAUGUAACCUACCUUGUUCAGGGGGAUAGCCUCUCGAAAGAGAGAUUAACACCGCAUAAAAUCAAUUUAUGGCAUCAUAGAAUGAUCAAAUAUUUAUAGGAACAAGAUGGGCAUGCGGAACAUUAGCUAGUUGGUAAGGUAACGGCUUACCAAGGCUACGAUGUUUAGGGGAUCUGAGAGGAUGACCCCCCACACUGGUACUGAGACACGGACCAGACUCCUACGGGAGGCAGCAGUAAGGAAUAUUGGUCAAUGGACGCAAGUCUGAACCAGCCAUGCCGCGUGCAGGAAGACGGCCCUACGGGUUGUAAACUGCUUUUGUACCGGAAUAAACCUUUUCACGUGUGAGAAGCUGAAUGUACGGUAAGAAUAAGGAUCGGCUAACUCCGUGCCAGCAGCCGCGGUAAUACGGAGGAUCCAAGCGUUAUCCGGAUUUAUUGGGUUUAAAGGGUGCGUAGGUGGCCUAUUAAGUCAGGGGUGAAAGACGGUAGCUUAACUAUCGCAGUGCCUUUGAUACUGAUGGGCUUGAAUACACUUGAGGUAGGCGGAAUGUGACAAGUAGCGGUGAAAUGCAUAGAUAUGUCACAGAACACCAAUUGCGAAGGCAGCUUACUAAAGUGUUAUUGACACUGAGGCACGAAAGCGUGGGGAUCAAACAGGAUUAGAUACCCUGGUAGUCCACGCCCUAAACGAUGAAUACUCGAUGUUGGCGAUAUACGGUCAGCGUCUAAGCGAAAGCGUUAAGUAUUCCACCUGGGGAGUACGCCCGCAAGGGUGAAACUCAAAGGAAUUGACGGGGGCCCGCAC